AGAAAAGGCGAGAAGUCGAUAGUGAAAAAAAGUCUAAAUGGCGACUUUUUGAUAAUCGAAAAAAGUCGACUUUUUGAUUAUCAGAAAAGGUUGAACAUUCGUAAAGUCGACUUUUUGAUUUCACUUUAGAUUCCUACUCAACAACGACUAAAACAAAGAGCGCAAGAAGACAUAUGACUUGCCGUCAACGCUACCGUAAAGGUUUGACCAUCACUGAUGCAAACUAAUUUGCGAUUUAUCACUCAAAAGAAUUUGUUUUUGUUUUGAUUAUUUGAGAAGGGCCAAGAAAGGGUGUGUAAAAAAUGUAAAAGCGUGCUAGGUUCGUCAUUGCACAAAUUUUCAGGUUUUAGACUAUGUCUGGUUAUAGCCCGAUUCAGGUCAUACUUGGCACGUAUGUUGGAGGUCACAGGUGAAGCCAUUGUGAAAAAUUUCAGCCUUUAGAGGCUCAAAAAAAUAAAAUCGGCAGAUCGGUUUAUAUAAGAGCUAUAUCAGAUUAUGGAAUUUCGCCCUCUUCAAGAAGUAAAAUCGGGAGAUCGGUUUAUAUAAGAAUUUUAUUAGACCGUAUUUAGCACGAAUGUUGAAGAUCAUAGGAGAAGACGGUGUGCACAAUUUAAAAAUUCCAAAUCGGUUUAUAUGGGAGCUAUAUCAAAACACAGACCGAUAUGGCCCAUCUACAAUCCCAGCCGACUUACACCAAUAGGAAGUAUUCGUGCAAAACUUCAAGCGCCUAGCUUUACUACUUAAAAAAAAUUGCUUCCACAGAUCGGCAGACCGAUUCAUAUGGCAACUAUACCUAAAUGUAGUCCGUUCUGAAUCAUAUUUAAGUCGGACAUCGGGAGGCUUAAAACAACUCAGUUUCCAAUUUCAGCGAAAUCGGAUAAAAAGUUCGGCUUUUACGGGCUUAAGACUCUUAAUCGGCAAAUCGGUCUAUAUGGGAGCUAUAUUCAAAUAUAGUCCGAUUUGGCCAAUUCAAGAACUAUGGAAGUGCAAAAUUCUGCUCAAUAUCUCAAUUUUGAAGACUGUAGCGUGAUAACAAUUGGCGGACAUCGUUAAAUCGUCCUAGAAUUUUACGACGAUCAGAAAUAUAUAUACUUAAUAGGGUCGGGAAUGGAAACUUCGAUGUGUUGCAAACUGAAUGACUAACUGAAUAUACCCCCUAUUCUAUGCUGGUGGGGUUAAAAAUCAUGUGGGCAUGCCAAACAAAAACGGUUAAUCACAUCCAUUGCUUUAAUCGACUAUACAUUUCAGAAAUCGAAUGUUAAUAAUGAAAAAAGUCUCAAAGCCUAUUUAUCUGUAAAAAAAAGUCGACUUUUUGAUAAUCGAGAAAAGGCGGGAAGUCGAUAGUGAAAAAAAGUCUAAAUGGCGACUUUUUGAUAAUCGAAAAAAGUCGACUUUUUGAUUAUCAGAAAAGGUUGAACAUUCGUAAAGUCGACUUUUUGAUUUCACUUUAGAUUCCUACUCAACAACGACUAAAACAAAGAGCGCAAGAAGACAUAUGACUUGCCGUCAACGCUACCGUAAAGGUUUGACCAUCACUGAUGCAAACUAAUUUGCGAUUUAUCACUCAAAAGAAUUUGUUUUUGUUUUUUUUUUUUUGUAAAUUUAGCAAACAAACUUCUACAAUUUCUUAAACAUGUAGAUUUUUUUAAGUAAUAUAACUAUAUUUUUAGAAAAAUUCUCAGAAAAUUGUUGGCAACGUAACGAAUUUUCAUAAAUAUCUUCUCAGACAGCAAGACAACUAUUAAAUCCCUUGUUUAAAUGAGUACGUACACGUUCAAGUGUUAGUUUCAAACUGAUUAUUUAUUUAAAAUUGUUCUAUCACUAGAGCUCCUGAAAAUCUUAAAACUAGACUAGAACGAGAUACCAACACAGUGGUAUGUUCGUUCAACCUUAUCUUCUAAUUUUUAUUAUUACAUGCACACACAUGCAGCACGCUGGGAGAGCACGUGCGUUUUAUGUGAACAUUAAACUACAAAAAGCGUCGUAAAAGUAAGCAUAAGGUAGCCAUAAUUGCUAUUGCUUUAUUUUACAUAAUGGAACAAUUAAGAGGUAGCGUCUUUAGCUCAGCAACAAAAAUCUACCCCCAACGAAACUACCUUGAGGGACAAAUACCGUUAAAUGAAAUGCCAAAUGUUGUUGUCGUUGGCACACUUUCAUGUGAAGGUAGGUAAGCAAGCUCGUUCCGGUUCAAAGGAACGAUCGGCGAGGGAACAGUAUGACCAUUGAUUAUUUAAAGGCGCCAAUAACCCUCCUUGUCAUAUCGAGCAUCAUAGGUACUCAGUACUUGUGAAAUAGCCGGCAUUGUCCGCGACUGCCGUUGCAGCUACUCCGUGUGAAGCAUUCCACUGUCCGCAACCUGUGGAUAGUAGAAUCCCCGAUAGCUCUCAGCUAUCCUUCUUGUGACAGCAAUGAACACCAAACAGAACGGACCUCAAUGUUCCAGUCUAUGUGGUGCUCACAGCUUGCUCACAGAUGUUCUAUCGGAUCAAAUAGAACAUCUUUUUAUGAUUAUAGAAAAAAAUCACAGCUGUGCUUUCAAGCCUUUGACAUUUAAAUUUACUGCAAAAUCAAACAAAAAUAAAAAUAAUUGUACUCAGCUGUUCCCAUGACCUUACCAUAUAAGUGCAUCCUGACUUUACAUGUUCAAAACAUUUCCUUUUCUUGGACAUCACUGGCGAAUGUAUUUGCUUCCGUAUAUAAAAUGUAUGUAAAACAACUUGACACUGACUCGUCACUCUUUAAUUGGGUUUAGACUCUUUAUUGCUUGUCUUGCCGAUAAUUUGGCAAGACCACACUCACACACAAACAUGUGUGCGAGACGUACGUAGACAAAACAAGCAGUCUUCUAAUUCAGUUCGAACUCCAAUUUCAGUUUUGGUCCUCAUUUUUGUUAUGUUUUGUCGUGCAAGUUUCGACCGUAUACCUAAGAAAAUUUGUUUUGACUUGGGAGGCGAAUAUGCUAAUGGAAAUGGCAAGGAUGCAAUUCUUCCAAACAUUUAUUAAGGAUGAGCAACUGCAACACCUAAUUAAGUAACCAUCUCGAGUUUUUAUGACAAAGAUAACGCCAUAUGAACUAUGGUACGGGACAAAACCUAACUUGGAAACUUCAAGUUUUCGAUUCAAAAUGCCCAUCAGAGAAGAGCGAUGAUGAUAAGUCAAAGCGUUUCGAUGUUUCAACCCGUUGACUAAAAAGGUGACUAUUAGUCGGCAUGUGAUUUUUACAGGUGCAAUAAGUAGCGAAAUAAAUAUAUAUAUCUAUGUCCAAAUAAUGAACCGAAUAAUAAAUUAUUGGUUGAGGAGGAGGAAUCUGAUCCAAAUAUUUCGGAUGAAAGUGCAAUCAAUAAUUCAAGUGAAGAUAACGUAAUCAAUGACAAGGUAAUCUAAAUCAUGAUGAAUUUGGAAUAAGAACUUCAUCAAGAAUCAACAAAGGUAUAGCGGCGAGGAGAUUAAUCGAUGAAAUUGGGCAGUUAAUGAAAUGAAGGAACCUAAAACAUACAAAAAAGCCAAAAAAGCUCAAUGGUUAGAUGCAAUGCGAAAUGAAAUAGAGUCAAUGGGAAGCAAUGGCACGUAGGAACUUUGAACACAUCCAAAACGUCAACUGCAGUUGGAAGUAAGUGGAUAUACAAAUUGAAACGAAAUGCGGAUAGUGAUAGAUGUCAUUUCAAAGUCAGGUUAGUUGCUCAAUGGCUCUAGCACAGGUACGGUAUAGACUAUGAUUAGGUAUUCGCACCAGUUCCAACUCAUACUUCAUUAGAAUUUUGUUGCCUAUUGCCAAAAAAAGAGAAUCGCAUUGUGAACAAUUUUGACGUCAAGAUUGCGUUUUUGAACCACAAGUUAUUAGAAACUACAUAUAUAUGGGAUUUCAAAAUGAAGAAUCGGUGUGUUUACAAAAGAAAAGUAUUUAUGGAUUAAAACAAGCUGCUCGUACAUGGAAUUCGGUCUUAGAUGAAGUACUUAAUAAAUUAGAUUUUAAACGAAGUAUGAACGACUUAUUUUUACAUUCUGUUGAUGCCUGCUAAAAGAUACGUUAUGGAAGUUAUGUCUGGUACUACAAUGGGCAACAUUCAGAGGUUAAUGUAUAUUAUAAAUACCAUACCAUAUGAAUACCAUAGCGUUGACAAAUUUUUUCAACGGCUUGUGACUCUGUAAUUGCAUUCUUUCUUCUGUCAGUUAUCAGCUGUUACUUUUAGCUUGCUUUAGAAAAAAAGUGCGCGAAAUUUUGUUUACAUUUGUUUGUUUGGCUUCAAUUUUAAUAUGGGUACCACAUGUAUUGAAAGAAAUUCAUUUAACAAACCGAAUCAACGCUUGUGAUAUGCACCUUAAACGCAAUGAAUUCGAUCCGUUUUUAAAACGAAUCAUAACUGGAGAUGAAAAAUGGAUUGUUUACAACAACGUUAGUCGAAAACGAUCAUGGUCCAAGCAUGGUGAACCAGCUCAAAGCACUUCAAAGGCUGAUAUCCACCAAAAGAAGGUUAUGCUGUAUGUUUGGUGGGAUUGGAAGGGUGUGGUAUAUUUUGAGCUGCUUCCAAGGAACCAAACGAUUAAUUCGGAUGUUACUGUCAACAAUUGGACAAAUUGAAUACAGCCAUCAAGAAGAAGCGACCAGAAUUGAUCAAUCGUAAAAGUGUCAUAUUCCACCAGGACAACGCUAGACCGCACAUAUCUUUGGUCACUCGCCAAAAACUGAGUGAGCUUUGCUGGGAACUUUUGAUGCAUCCACCAUAUAGCCCUGACCUUGCACCAUCAUACUACCAUUUAUUUCGAUCUUUGCAGAACUCCUUAAAUGGUAAAACUUUCGGCAAUGAUGAGGCUAUAAAAUCGCGCUUGGUUCAGUUUUUUGCAGAUAAAGGCCAGAAGUUCUAUGAGCGUGGAAUACUAAAUUUGCCAGGAAGAUGGCAAAAGGUUAUCGAACAAAAUGGCAAUUAUAUAUUUGAUUAAAGUUCAUUCUAAGUUUUAUUAAAAAAGCAUUUACUUUCUUUUAAAAAAUCCGCAAUUACUUUUUAGGCAACCCAAUAUUUAAUGUUCGCAGGCGUGAACAUAUAACAGAAUUCGUCAGAGAGUUUCUUGGUGUUUCCUUUGGGAACAAUAUUAAUUGUAUUAACCUGCUGUUGUUCAUAAAAUAAUUACAAAUAUUGUAUCUUUUUCUUUAGGUGAUUUAUUUACGUUAUCUCGUUCGGUUAGAAAUACCCAAAUUGCUAUUGUUGGGAUAUCUUGUUCGUCGUAAGGACAUUUUGUUAUACCUAUUGCUCGAUGCUGGAACUUUUCCCCAAUAAUUUGAUAAAUUGUUCUCACUUUUCGAUUGAAAAUUUCAAAUUAUUUCAGAUGUAAUGAAGCCCGAUUCUACUGUUUGUAGUUGUAGUUUUUUUUUUUCUAUCAACAAUGUUGUUGCUAUCAUCAUAGGAUUAAAUGCUUUUCAUCAUGUUUAAAUUAAGAAGGUUGGAUCACUUGCCCUACAACAACGACAUCAAAGAUACAACAUUGCUGGCGCAUAUUCCCAAUAGGCUGUCAAAUUCCUGGACACUUCCUAGUUGACAUUAUAGUUAUUAUUUGCAUUAGCAUUUGUAGCGGCCAAAAGAUCAAAAAAUUUAUGAUUAUAAACGUGUAAAUUAUAAAUUAAAACAAUUAAAAUGUGAAAAAAGGAAUGAAAUGUGAAAAAAAUUUUAAAAUCCAAACCGAGCAUUUGACGUUCUAGUGGGAUUUGGAUACAACUCUGGAAUUGGAAAAUUCCAUCAGCUGGGCAAGUGAGCUAACCUUCUUUAGUGAACCCUGCUUUUCAGUAUUCCUGCUUUAUUGUUAAUCGGCUGGGGGCCUACAAAAACCAAUUUAUUUUGCAUAAUGUCUCAAAUGCGAAGUUUUGGACAAAUAGGCUUAGUGUUUGAAAGAUAUGAAUAAAUAAAUAAAUAAAAGGAAAUUGUUGUUACGUCAUCAUUAGUCUAGAUAACAUUAGUAUUGCCUGUGCAACAAAUGAGGAAGUAAAGAAUAUAAAAUUUUUUCAGAAAUGUUUCCCGAUUACUAAUAUUAAACACUAUCUUGGAAUUGAAACAUACAAAGACAAAAACGGAAAUUUUUAAGGGUUACAUUCAUAGAACUGUCAAAGAAUAUAGUUUAAGAAAUACAAAUCCAACCAGAACUCCAAUGGAAAAGGAGGAGAUUCUAAGCACCUAGACACGUAUGUUAAACACAUACCUUCUAUACAUAUCUGUUAAUACGAACAGACGAGAUAUUUAUGCUGUCGUUUGUAUUUUGGCGCAGAAGGUUUCUUACCCUACUAUAGAAGAAUGGAAAGAAUACUGCUACUAUUAAACUUCAAAUGAGCGACUAAACAAAAUACCAAGGUCUGAUUGGAUGCGCAGAUGCCAACUGGGUUGAUGAACGAUCACAAAGAAAAUCUAAUAGUGGCAGAAUAUGUUUCUACAAUGGCACUACAAUUGGUUGUCAUGUCAAAAGCAAACUUUAGUGGCAUCGCCAACCUGUGAAGCCGAUUAUAUUUCACUUUCAAAAGCAAAGCGGAUAAUGCAAAUAUUGGAAGAUAUUGAAGGACCAAUACCAAUAUUCAACGGCAAUCAAAGCUGUCUGCGGCUAGUUAAUGAUGACAAAUUUUCUUUCCAAACCAAACACGCUAAUAAAAAUUAACAAAACUUAGUACUUAGACUUACUAAAGAAAGGAAUAAUAACGUGCGUAUAUAGUCGAACGGAGGAAAUGAUGGCCGAUAAAUUAACCAAACAGCAUCUAAACAUAAGACUCUCUGCGACAAAUGCAAUUUAAAGUGAAUGACGAGGAGUCAAUGUGGUUUAAUGAUUAUUUGUUUCGCCAUGGAGGAGGAGUAUUGAAAUAAACUUGCAAUUUGUAUUUUAUGGAAUAGAAAAUUCCAUUUGGCUUAAUGUUAUUAAAUUUCGAAUCGAACAAAACGAUUAAAAUUAAAUUGUCUAAAUAUAUAGUGACUUAAGAACUUUGAUUCCGAAUCUA
This is a long non-coding RNA of Stomoxys calcitrans (stable fly), 6967 nucleotides long. RefSeq lists it as uncharacterized. NCBI's taxonomy places the organism in Eukaryota, Metazoa, Arthropoda, Insecta, Diptera, Muscidae. The record is from RefSeq and is a predicted model, not a curated record. The transcript is spliced from 2 exons.